Molecule: ribosomal RNA, 484 nt
Filed under: uncultured bacterium
Lineage: Bacteria
Description: partial 16S ribosomal RNA
Rfam family: Bacterial small subunit ribosomal RNA
Source: RNAcentral
AUUGAACGCUGGCGGAAUGCUUUACACAUGCAAGUCGAACGGCAGCACGGGGGCAACCCUGGUGGCGAGUGGCGAACGGGUGAGUAAUACAUCGGAACGUGCCCGGUCGUGGGGGAUAACGUAGCGAAAGUUACGCUAAUACCGCAUACGAUCUGAGGAUGAAAGCGGGGGACCUUCGGGCCUCGCGCGUUCGGAGCGGCCUAUGUCAGAUUAGGUAGUUGGUGGGGUAAAGGCCUACCAAGCCGACGAUCUGUAGCUGGUCUGAGAGGACGACCAGCCACACUGGGACUGAGACACGGCCCAGACUCCUACGGGAGGCAGCAGUGGGGAAUCUUGGACAAUGGGGGAAAGCCUGAUCCAGCCAAUCCGCGUGCAGGACGAAGGCCUUCGGGUUGUAAACUGCUUUUGUAUGGAACGAAAAGGCUCUGGCUAAUACCUGGGGCUCAUGACGGUACCGUAAGAAUAAGCACCGGCUAACUACGUG